This 21-nucleotide small nuclear RNA is filed under the name Arabidopsis thaliana (thale cress). RNAcentral's name for it is "snRNA_03508". Lineage: Eukaryota; Viridiplantae; Streptophyta; Magnoliopsida; Brassicales; Brassicaceae. The record is from RNAcentral.
GCCAAGUUGAUGUUUAAAAUG